UUGCCCUGCGGAGUGCUCGGGUCCGCCGCAUCUCCUGGGUCCGUAGGGUUCGGUCGGCGGGCGGUGGUGUUGGAUGGCCUCUCCUCACCACUGCCUGCCGAUCACCGA
Molecule: small RNA, 108 nt
Filed under: Ancylobacter tetraedralis
Lineage: Bacteria; Pseudomonadati; Pseudomonadota; Alphaproteobacteria; Hyphomicrobiales; Xanthobacteraceae
Description: Angulomicrobium tetraedale EcpR1
Rfam family: EcpR1
About the family: Perviously named SmelC291, SmrC10, or Sra33. According to its overproduction phenotype it was renamed Elongated Cell Phenotype RNA1.
Source: Rfam by way of RNAcentral